GUGUCAGCAGCCGCGGUAAGACGAACCGAGCGAACGUUAUUCGGAAUCACUGGGCUUAAAGGGCGCGUAGGCGGGCCGUCAAGUCAGGGGUGAAAGCCCCCAGCUCAACUGGGGAAGUGCCUCUGAUACUGGCGGCCUCGAGGGAGGUAGGGGCGUGCGGAACUUCCGGUGGAGCGGUGAAAUGCGUAGAUAUCGGAAGGAACACCGGUGGCGAAAGCGGCGCGCUGGACCUCUUCUGACGCUGAGGCGCGAAAGCCAGGGGAGCGAACGGGAUUAGAUACCCCGGUAGUCCUGGCCCUAAACGUUGGGCACUAGGUUGUGGGCUUACGUGGGCUCACAGCCGGAGCAAAAGUAUUAAGUGCCCCGCCUGGGGAGUAUGGUCGCAAGGCUGAA
Molecule: ribosomal RNA, 393 nt
Filed under: uncultured bacterium
Lineage: Bacteria
Description: bacterial SSU rRNA
Rfam family: Bacterial small subunit ribosomal RNA
Source: RNAcentral